Molecule: ribosomal RNA, 368 nt
Filed under: Vexillum herosae
Lineage: Eukaryota; Metazoa; Mollusca; Gastropoda; Neogastropoda; Costellariidae
Description: partial 12S ribosomal RNA
Source: RNAcentral
UCUUGGAAGUAAAAAGAAAAAUCUACCAGAGUACUACGAAUAAAAAAUUUAAAACUCAAAGAGCUUGGCGGUGCUUUAGACUCUUCAGGGGAACCUGUCUUAUAAUCGACAAUCCACGCUAUACCUAACCUUAUCUUGCAUACAAUUUGUAUACCGUCGUCGUCAGGUAACUUUUAAAAAUUUUUAAUAGUUAGCAGAAAAGUUAAAUAAACUUAAACGUCAGAUCAAGGUGCAAUUAAUGAUAUGGGCAAGAUGGGUUACAAUUAUAUAAAUAAUAAUACGAAAAACUAAUUGAAAUAUUAUUUUAAAGGAGGACUUGAAAGUAAAAACAUAUAUAUACAUUAAUUGAAUAAAGCUCUGAAGCGUGC